Molecule: ribosomal RNA, 253 nt
Filed under: uncultured bacterium
Lineage: Bacteria
Description: partial 16S ribosomal RNA
Rfam family: Bacterial small subunit ribosomal RNA
Source: RNAcentral
UACGGGGGGUGCAAGCGUUGCUCGGAAUCACUGGGCGUAAAGCGUCCGCAGGCGGCUUGAUAAGUCGGGUGUGAAAUCCCGGGGCUCAACCCCGGAACUGCAUUCGAAACUGUCUGGCUUGAGUACGGGAGAGGGUCGUGGAAUUCCUGGUGUAGAGGUGAAAUUCGUAGAUAUCAGGAGGAACACCGGUGGCGAAAGCGGCGACCUGGCCCGAUACUGACGCUCAUGGACGAAAGCGUGGGGAGCAAACAGG